GGAGGCAUUGUCGCUCUAUGUUAGAACAUCUGCUUGGCGCACAGAAGGGCCCAGGUUCAAUUCCUGGCAUAUCCA
RNAcentral lists this transfer RNA (75 nucleotides) under Sphaerodactylus townsendi. RNAcentral describes it as "tRNA-Ala". It matches the Rfam family "tRNA". From Rfam's summary of the family: Transfer RNA (tRNA) molecules are approximately 80 nucleotides in length. Their secondary structure includes four short double-helical elements and three loops (D, anti-codon, and T loops). The record is from RNAcentral. Lineage: Eukaryota; Metazoa; Chordata; Lepidosauria; Squamata; Sphaerodactylidae.